AUUCCAGCUCCAAUAGCGUAUAUUAAAGUUGUUGUGGUUUAAAAAACUCGUAGUUGGAUCUCGGCGGUCUGAGGGCGGUUCGCUUCAGAGCGCUACUGCCCUAUAGACCGUAGUUUUGCCAGAGGUCUCAGGGUGCUCUUAACCGAGUGUCUUGCGAUGCUGGCAGGUUAACUUUGAAAAAAUUAGAGUGCUCAAAGCAGGCUUUUACGCCUGAAUAUUUGUACAUGGAAUAAUAGAAUAGGAAGUCGUUUCUAUUUUGUUGGUUUUUGGAAAUUGACUUAAUGAUUUAAUAGGGACAGUCGGGGGCAUUUGUAUUCAAAUGACAGAGGUGAAAUUCUUGGACCGUUUGAAGACAAACUACUGCGAAAGCAUUUGCCAAGAAUGUUUUCAUUA
RNAcentral lists this ribosomal RNA (393 nucleotides) under Pseudocalanus sp. RNAcentral describes it as "partial small subunit ribosomal RNA". It matches the Rfam family "Eukaryotic small subunit ribosomal RNA", at positions 582 to 975 of the family's 1831-position model. Lineage: Eukaryota; Metazoa; Arthropoda; Copepoda; Calanoida; Clausocalanidae. The record is from RNAcentral.